GGGGGGGGGGGGGGGGGGGGGGGGGGGGGGGGGGUGGGGGGGGGGGGGGGCUGCGGGUGUGGGGGGUGUGGGUGGGGGGGGAACGGGGGUGUAAAGCGGGGGUAACCGGCGCCCGGCUUCUGGCUAACCUCACGACAAUGUGGCUCAUACGGGCUCGUCUUGGCCUGUCGCCUGGUGGUGCGGGGCACGGUAUUGUUUCGGUGGGGGGUGGGCUCGCGGCCUAUCAGCUUGGUGGUGGUGAGAUUGCUUACCACAGAGGUGAUGGGUCGCCGGCCUGAGAUGGUGGACGGUAACACUGGGACUGAGACACGGCCCAGACUCCUACGGGAGGCAGCAGUGGGGAAUAUUGCACAAUGGGCGCAAGCCUGAUGCAGCGACGCCGCGUGAAGGAUGGAGGCCUUCGGGUUGUGAACCUCUUUCGCCAGUGAAGCAGGCCUGCCUCGUUUGUGGGUGGGUUGACGGUAGCUGGAUAAGAAGCGCCGGCUAACUACGUG
RNAcentral lists this ribosomal RNA (494 nucleotides) under uncultured bacterium. Its description in RNAcentral is "partial 16S ribosomal RNA". It matches the Rfam family "Bacterial small subunit ribosomal RNA", at positions 38 to 507 of the family's 1533-position model. The record is from RNAcentral.